Molecule: ribosomal RNA, 520 nt
Filed under: uncultured Glomus
Lineage: Eukaryota; Fungi; Glomeromycota; Glomeromycetes; Glomerales; Glomeraceae
Description: SSU rRNA
Rfam family: Eukaryotic small subunit ribosomal RNA
Source: RNAcentral
AGCAGCCGCGGUAAUUCCAGCUCCAAUAGCGUAUAUUAAAGUUGUUGCAGUUAAAAAGCUCGUAGUUGAAUUUCGGGAUCAAUAUAUCGGUCGUGCCUUGGUACGUACUGGUAUCAUUGGUUUCUCCUUUCUGACGAACCAUGAUGUCAUUAAUUUGGUGUUAUGGGAAGUUAGGACUGUUACUUUGAAAAAAUUAGAGUGUUUAAAGCAGGCUUUAGCUUGAAUACAUUAGCAUGGAAUAAUGAAAUAGGACGUUCGAACCUAUUUUGUGGUUUCUAGGAUCAACGUAAUGAUUAAUAGGGAUAGUUGGGGCAUUAGUAUUCAAUUGUCAGAGGUGAAAUUCUUGGAUUUAUUGAAGACUAACUACUGCGAAAGCAUUUGCCAAGGAUGUUUUCAUUAAUCAAGAACGAAAGUUAGGGGAUCGAAGACGAUCAGAUACCGUCGUAGUCUUAACCAUAAAACUAUGCCGACUAGGGAUCGGAUGAUGUUAAUUUUUUAAUGACUCAUUCGGCGCCUUACG